UUUAAUUGGAGUUAAUGAAGUUGAAGGGCUGUGAUUGCACGUGAGCAUCCUAUAACUAAGUUCCUGGAAGAGCAAAAGGGGCAUUGAUCAAAUUGGUAUUAUUCUCGUGCUCCUCUCUCUCUCUUCUAACAGACUCUCUUCUCUUCUCUUCUAUUCAAUCUCCUUCUACAUUCUUUUCUCAUCUAAAUCUGCAUGUCCUUAUGGCUAUGGCGAGUUCUUCAGUUAGUUUCCGUUAAAUGUAGUUUUAAUUUCCAUGUAGUAGAUAUCCUUGUCUCUAAUUUUCCAGUUAUAAAUCAGAAAAUCCCAA
RNAcentral lists this long non-coding RNA (307 nucleotides) under Solanum tuberosum (potato). RNAcentral's name for it is "long non-coding RNA (STUB_LNC009963)". Lineage: Eukaryota; Viridiplantae; Streptophyta; Magnoliopsida; Solanales; Solanaceae. The record is from RNAcentral.